CCUCCUUUUCUUGGCGCGGGUCGGGCGUGCAGUCGCGGAGGUAGGGGGACCGGGCUCUAGCCCCCUCGGCGUCAUGUCUUCGGUACCGGCGGCCAGCAGUCCGCCGGUUCUAUCCUCAAGCGCCGGGACACAG
RNAcentral lists this small nucleolar RNA (133 nucleotides) under Ovis aries (sheep). RNAcentral's name for it is "Small nucleolar RNA SNORA57 (ENSOARG00000024247.1)". It matches the Rfam family "Small nucleolar RNA SNORA57". From Rfam's summary of the family: U99 belongs to the H/ACA class of snoRNAs which are thought to guide the sites of modification of uridines to pseudouridines, the target for this family is unknown. The record is from Rfam by way of RNAcentral. Lineage: Eukaryota; Metazoa; Chordata; Mammalia; Artiodactyla; Bovidae.